CUGGGCUAUGGGGACAUGUACCCGGAGACGUGGUCUGGCAUGUUAGUGGGAGCUCUUUGCGCUCUGGCUGGAGUGCUGACCAUCGCCAUGCCCGUGCCCGUCAUCGUCAACAAC
Molecule: regulatory RNA element, 114 nt
Organism: Astyanax mexicanus (Mexican tetra)
Lineage: Eukaryota; Metazoa; Chordata; Actinopteri; Characiformes; Acestrorhamphidae
Rfam family: Potassium channel RNA editing signal
About the family: This family represents a group of sequences related to the human potassium channel Kv1.1 hairpin element which directs the efficient modification of an adenosine to inosine by an adenosine deaminase acting on RNA (ADAR). The ADAR modification causes an isoleucine/valine recoding event which lies in the ion-conducting pore of the potassium channel.
Source: Rfam